UCGUUUUUUUUAGGUUUUUUUGGUUUGGUUUUUCUUUUGUAUCUCACCACGUACGUAAAACAAACAGCCAACGAGGCUCCCUAAAUCUCGAUCUGUUUCAUCUCAGCCUCCAGCCCCGAGAGGAGCCGCCGCCGCCGCCGGGAGGAGACGCCCCAGUCCCGAGAGGAGCCGCCGCAGCCGCCGGGGAACGAGGUCGCCGCCGCCUCCAGGUCGCCGCCGUCACGCACCGCCUCCUCCAGGUCGCCGCCGUCACACACUGCCCCAGGUCCGUUGAUCUCUCUCCUCCUCUCCACUCCUCACUGUCAGCCCCGCACAGCUCUUCCUCCACGGCGGGGAUUCAGUCUAUGGCAUUCAAGAGAGGUGGCUGCAGCCGCCAUGCUGCCGAUCCGGUCCUUGCUGUUGGAUCCGGACCUCUCCACCCCUCCUCCCGGUCCGAUCCAAUGGCGUUCGCACGACGUCGAUCUCCCGGAUGGCGUGAGGUCCUAGCGGCAACGUCAGGCCCCUUGCGAUUGGGGUCAAUUUGAGGUGGCUCUGGUGGAAAUGUGGAACACAUCCCAUUGUUACAGGGGCUCCCGAGGCGACAUCCAGUUGCUCUGUGUGCAGGGGUUAUUUUCACCUCUGUUUGCUUUUGCGUUUGUUGUCCGCGCUCAAUCUCUGUCGCUGGUGGUGCAAGCUCCGCAUGCACUUGUCCGAGCUUGCCGAGCAGUCUGCACUGAAGCAAACUCACUGUCGUCCUUUUCCUUUUCAGUUUGAGAUAGACAGAAGUACUUCCAAACUUAUUUGAAUUUUAGUUUGUGUAUGUGUCAUUCGUUUGUUGUAGUUGUUGCUGUUCAAAUCUCAGCACCAUUACAUAGUACCAGCCAUUCUCGCUGACACUAACAGUACUUGGAGAUUUACCAACAAUGGCAGUAGACAUCUUCCUAAACUCCAUUCACACAGCCGGCCCCCAAUUUGUUUCCAUUCCCUGACAUGCAUAAGAUAUCUGUGAUAUUUGCCGAAUUAUUAUUUGUAGGUUUGAAGUACCAAGGCACAAUGGCUGAUAGGGCACUGGAGGAACUGCACACCAUGGUUCAGACACCAACUUCCCUGAUGCGACCAACUCACCGGUUCAGUGAGCAUUGUAUCCUCUUACUGUUGCCAUAAUUACAUGCAUUUCACUUUUGCAUUAUAUGUGUACUAUUGCAUGGUAGUUGAACACGAAUUUGGGUUACUUGACAUCGUAAAAUAUGGUGGCUACUCUUGGAUCCGGUGAAUCUGGUGGUUCUGUUUAUAUUAUGUAUUGUGGGACUAUUGAGUUCACAACGCUUUCCAAAUACUCAUAUGUGAUUUCUUUUUUAUUUAUACUCGUGCAGAAAAAUAAAGAGCAUCUUGAUUCUUGUAUUGUUGAAGGCAGCUGUAGCUAAGGCUGGUUACACUAGAAGAUUUUUUUUGUCUAUACAUAGUUCAUGAUUCAGCCCUUGUGUACUAAUUCAUGUGUGACGGUUGGUCAUUGGACUGGAUGUUGCUGCUUCUGAAUAUUACGGUGAAAAGGAUCAGACUCAUCAACCUCGAUUUUCUUGUGUCUUGAAAUGCAGGGGAACGACAUUGUAAGCUUGGUUAGUUUGAUGUCCUACGGAGAAGCAAAAUUGGUCGUGCCCACCGCCAGAAGAUUCAUCUUUGUACUCUCUUCUCCAUUUAUCAGUGCAACGAGAGGCAGAGUUAGUCAUGGUGAUGAUCAUAUUGUAUUCUUAUGAUGCUUGCAGACUGGGAGUGUAUUUAUACUUCAUGCUUAUGAGUUAUGAUGAAUCAUUUCUAUGGCAUUA
Long non-coding RNA from Triticum aestivum (bread wheat), 1802 nucleotides. RefSeq lists it as uncharacterized. The record is from RefSeq and is a predicted model, not a curated record. Lineage: Eukaryota; Viridiplantae; Streptophyta; Magnoliopsida; Poales; Poaceae. The transcript has 2 exons.